RNA transcript from Rhinolophus ferrumequinum (greater horseshoe bat), 4394 nucleotides. It is a transcript of the gene named NIM1 serine/threonine protein kinase, with no coding region annotated. NCBI's taxonomy places the organism in Eukaryota, Metazoa, Chordata, Mammalia, Chiroptera, Rhinolophidae. The transcript is spliced from 5 exons. The record is from RefSeq and is a predicted model, not a curated record.
UGGAGCCCCAGUCCGCCGGAGGGCGGGGUUUGCCGCCGCAGCUGGUGGUCAGGUCCGCCGCCGCUGACCGCUCCAGGAGCCUCCCGCGCUCGGACGGCCCGCGACACCCUCGCACCGUCUGCGCCCGCGGCCCCUCCAGCGCCAAACAUCCGAGCGCCUGGCGGGGCGCCACGCAGUGGCCCGAGCCGGGCUCGCCAGGAAGGAGGAACCAGCACCUGCCAAAUUUUUGAGACAGCUCACGGCUUAGAGGAAGGCUCAUCUAAAUAAAGGCCGGCUAAAGUGACACUGCAGGGGUUUAAUCCUUCUCUGGCUGCCCGUGUGACCUGAAGGCUGAUUUGCAGGUUUCUUCUUUCCUGAGGUCUAGAUUAUUAGGUCUCCAGAGCCCGGCGACUUGCCAGCAAGAGAAAUGCAAAAUGAAGGUCAGAGAUAAGCGCCAGCAGCACGGACCUGCGGGGCUCUGCAGGGCUUUUACACACGAGGGUGAGAGAUUCUCUGGCCUUCGAAGAAAAUAGCAAACUGGAGCUUUUGUCCUGGGAUACAGGCACCUACCACAGAACAUCAGACUGCACGGCUGUCCAAAAACUUCCAGGGAAGUGACUAUGGUAACGGGAUAGGAGCCUGAUUGCACAGUUAGAGUUGGGAAGUUCAACCUGAAAGAAGGUAUGAAAUGUCUCGAGUGAGGCAGGCAGCGUUGGGUUGGGCUGCGUAGGCUCUGCCGGCCCAUUUGCCUCUGCCCUCCUCUGACGUGCGCAGGCCAGUCUCAUGGACCCGGCUCCCUGGCAGUCCUGACCUCCCAUGUCCCAGCCACUGGGCUCUUGCAUGCCUCACCAACCUGCCUUUGAUUGGUGCCUCUUGGCUGAGAUGGAGACGUGAGCCUGCAGUGAGGAUGACGGCGGUGUAUGUGAAUGGAGGUGGCCUGGUGCACCCCCACUAUGCCAGGUGGGAUCGCCGGGACAGCGUGGAAAGUGGCUGUCAGACGGAGUGCGACAAGGAGGAGGAGGAGGGACAGGCUCGCCAGCUGACACCCUUCGAGAAGCUGACACAGGACAUGUCCCAAGAUGAGAAGGUGGUGAGAGAGAUCACGCUGGGGAAACGGAUCGGCUUCUACAGAAUCCGAGGGGAAAUCGGAAGUGGGAACUUCUCCCAAGUCAAGCUUGGGAUUCACUCCCUAACCAAAGAAAAGGUGGCCAUUAAGAUCUUGGACAAGACCAAGUUGGACCAGAAAACCCAACGGCUACUGUCCCGCGAAAUCUCCAGCAUGGAGAAACUGCACCACCCCAAUGUCAUCCGCCUUUACGAAGUCGUGGAGACCCUCUCCAAGCUCCACUUGGUCAUGGAGUAUGCAGGGGGUGGGGAACUCUUUGGCAAAAUUAGCACCGAAGGGAAGCUCUCCGAACCAGAAAGCAAGCUCAUCUUCUCCCAGAUUGUGUCUGCCGUGAAGCACAUGCACGAAAACCAAAUUAUUCAUAGAGACUUGAAAGCAGAAAAUGUAUUCUAUACCAGUAAUACUUGUGUAAAGGUGGGUGAUUUUGGAUUCAGUACAGUAAGUAAAAAAGGUGAAAUGCUGAAUACCUUCUGCGGGUCUCCCCCCUACGCUGCGCCCGAGCUUUUCCGAGACGAGCACUACGUGGGCGUGUACGUGGAUAUCUGGGCCCUGGGAGUGCUUCUGUACUUCAUGGUGAGUGGCACCAUGCCAUUUCGGGCAGAGACCGUGGCCAAACUGAAGAAGAGCAUUCUCGAGGGCACAUACAAUGUGCCUCCAGACGUGUCUGAGCCCUGCCUCCAACUCAUCCGGGGAGUCCUUCAGCCGGUACCCACCGAGAGGUAUGGCAUCGACUCUAUCAUGAACAAUGAAUGGAUGCAAGGGGUGCCAUACCCCACCCCUCUGGAACCUUUCCAACUGGACCCCAAACAUUUGUCAGACACCAGCACCCUCAAAGAAGAAGAAAAUGAGGUCAAAAGCACUUUAGAACACUUGGGUAUUACAGAAGAGCAUAUUCGAAAUAACCAAGGGAGAGAUGCCCGCAGCUCCAUCACAGGAGUCUAUCGAAUCAUUUUACAUAGAGUCCAAAGGAAAAAGGCUUCGGAAAGUAUCCCAAUAAUACUACCAGACCCUAAAGGAAGGGACCUAAAGAAAGGGUCCCGUGUCUACAGAAGCAUAAGACACACAUCCAAAUUUUGUUCAAUUUUAUAAAUUGCACUAGACUGUUGGUAAUUAACCAAGAUCACUGUUGCUGCUUUUAAAUUUUUCACGGAGAACUUGGUGGAGACAUUUUUGUAAUUUUUAAAUAAAUUUAAAUUUAAGGACAUUUCAAACAGCAGACAACAAAUGAAGUGUUUCAACUAAGUCACAAGAGGAUCAAAAGUAGCUGUUUGCAUCUAUUUGAGUUUCGUCUAGUGUUAGUAUUAGACUUAGUGUUCAUAAAAAUAAACAAAACUCCAAAGGUGGAAAAAGAAAGUGCACAAAUUCCAUAGAGAAGGGGAAGGAUAGAACUCUUCAAGCCAUAUUCAUUUGGAUUCUAGAAUUUGCAGAAGUGACCUUAGAGGACACUGGCCUCAUUUUCGAAAUGAUCCAGAGGGAUAGACUAGCCCAGAAAAACAAAUUAUUACUAAGUUUUGAAUCUAGAUAUGACAUGAUAAAAUGAGCUGAUCAGUACUAGAGAAUAAUCUGGUUUGAUUCCUAAUUCAUACAGUCCUAAGAGUUGCUAGGAUUCUUAGAGAUCACCUAAUCCAGUAUCAAUGCCAAUGCAAAAAGCUUCUGUAAAACCCCUGGGAGCCUCAGCAACAUGUGACCCUGAAGCUGGAAGCUCUAGCUGGCAGCAGGCAUUUCUAUGUUGGCUGUGAAAUUUGCUUUUAAUCUUAAAUUGCCAACCCCUAAUCUUAGGUUGUUUCUAGGAAAACAAAGUAACUCUCUUUAUAAAAAUUUAUAGAAACUUCAUACAUGUUUACCACCCAAUUUGGGACUUAAUUUCCUUAUAUGAAAUCUAAGAAGAAUUAAAUUAUCAGUAUAAAUUCCUCCAUACUAGAUGAAUAGUUCUAUGAAGGCAAAACCAUAUAUCUUGUAAAUCUUUAUUUCUGACUUAAGCAGGUGCCUUGCUUAUAUCAUGUUUUUGAAGGUUUGUUGAAUGAUGAAUGAAUAGAUGAGUGAAUGAAUAGACUGAAAUAAAAUGAAUGCCCAUAUUUUAAAAUAGCAUGUUAGUUGGUUUCUUGCCUAAAUGUUAGCUCAGGAGAAAAAAAGAAUACUCAAAUAUCUGAAAUAUUUCUCGAAAACUUUAUUCAAAGUUAUUCACCUCACUGUUAAUAAAGUGUACAGUUAAUUUUCUUUGCCAGCAUUAUUAGGCCUGCCCAUUGCCGGCAAUGGACUUUGAGAAAACCCAUUUCCUGACACUCAAAAGUUAAAUUACUCUUUUCAAAACAUACCGAACUCCCAAUACUUGCAAAAGUAUUUCAUGCACUAUUUCCCCAUCAAUCUUUUAAUCUGAAUUUACAUUAUUAAGCUACAUCAGCGGAUGUUAAAAUGAAGUCAUUUUAACAAAUUAUGACUAUACAAAUCAAAAUACCACUGGUUAACAUUAGACGAGAGUAUUUUACAAACACUACAUGUUCCUUUGCAAUUUGAAAUAUUGCAUUUCAUAUUUGUGUAGGUCUAUUUUGGAUAACUGAAACUUCACAGAAUUUAACAGCAAAUAAAGUUUUAAAAAAUUUAGUUCUGUACAUUAGUUCCAACUAUCUCUAUUUUACAAUCUGUAAGGCUCAUGUCAUAGUUCAGCACCAAAGAGAUCUACAAAACUGUCUAACCAGUCUUAUUCAUCCCAUGUGAUAGUUUUCUUUAGGUGAAUGUCUGAGAAAAUGCUUUAUAGAUCCUACUUCCAGAUCUUGAAGUGGAAUACUCGUUUUGGCCGGUCACACUUGUAAAAACUUGGGUUUUACCUUUUCAGUUUCAUUGAACAGAUUUUUUUUUAAAAAGGAAAAAGGACAAGAAUACUGACACCAUGAAUUUACGUUGUCAGUCUUUACGUUGAAUUUAUAACACUGAAGCAUCAGAAGUAACCUAAUAAUGUCUUGCCCCAUCCUUCUUUUGUUUAAAAUUUUUCAAAGGCAACCAGAAAAAUGUUUUAUUUAUUCUCAAAAUAAGGUACAAAGAAGGACUGAAACAACAAACUUCCUCACACACACGUGCCAAUCACAUCAAUGUUGUUCCGCAUAAUCCACCUUGAACUGAUUCCAAAGCAGACCUAGAGCUCCAUGCAUAGCUCCCAAGUGUACCACCCGACGUCUGCCCAAUGCUACGUAGCACCUCUCUGUUCAGAGGUCAUUACACUAACUCAUCACUGCUGGCCUGGACUUAAAGCAACGGUCCAUUUCCAGAAACAGUGUUACUGUUCCAACUCUUC